UGGGGAAUUUUGGACAAUGGGCGAAAGCCUGAUCCAGCAAUGCCGCGUGUGUGAAGAAGGCCUUCGGGUUGUAAAGCACUUUUGUCCGGAAAGAAAUCCUUGGCUCUAAUACAGUCGGGGGAUGACGGUACCGGAAGAAUAAGCACCGGCUAACUACGUGCCAGCAGCCGCGGUAAUACGUAGGGUGCAAGCGUUAAUCGGAAUUACUGGGCGUAAAGCGUGCGCAGGCGGUUUGCUAAGACCGAUGUGAAAUCCCCGGGCUAACCUGGGAACUGCAUUGGUGACUGGCAGGCUAGAGUAUGGCAGAGGGGGGUAGAAUUCCACGUGUAGCAGUGAAAUGCGUAGAGAUGUGGAGGAAUACCGAUGGCGAAGGCAGCCCCCUGGGCCAAUACUGACGCUCAUGCACGAAAGCGUGGGGAGCAAAACAGGAUUNGAUACCCUGGUAGUCCACGCCCUAAACGAUGUCAACUAGUUGUUGGGGAUUCAUUUCCUUAGUAACGUAGCUAACGCGUGAAGUUGACCGCCUGGGGAGUACGGUCGCAAGAUUAAAACUCAAAUGAAUUG
Molecule: ribosomal RNA, 564 nt
Filed under: uncultured bacterium
Lineage: Bacteria
Description: partial 16S ribosomal RNA
Rfam family: Bacterial small subunit ribosomal RNA
Source: RNAcentral